Schizosaccharomyces pombe (fission yeast) is the source of this 503-nucleotide non-coding RNA. The record is from the annotation of a GenBank genome assembly. Lineage: Eukaryota; Fungi; Ascomycota; Schizosaccharomycetes; Schizosaccharomycetales; Schizosaccharomycetaceae.
AGUGCAUCAAUGGAUUUCAACAAAACUACAUACAUUACUUUCAAAAUCAAAAGACGCCCCUACAAUAAUUAACCGCUCAAUGUACUUUUUAUUGUUAUUUGUUUAUGCAAUGAGCUCAACAACACCGCCGGCUUGCUUAAUCUUUUCCUCAGCUCUGCGAGAAACGUAGCGAGUUUGAACAAUGACAGGGGUCUCAGGAAGACGUCCCUUACCCAAAACUUUGCCAUAACCGGAUUGAAGGACAUUGAUGACGGGAGCAACCUCAGUGUUCUUGCCCAAAUACUUGUCACGAGCCUCGUUGGGGAGUAAAGUCCAGAGACGGUCCAAGUUGACAGUGGGACGCCAUAAGGGAUUCUUCAUGAGGUGGAAACGGCGCAUACCGACCUUACCAAAGUAACCAGGAUGGUACUUAUCGAAGUGACUACGGAGGUGUUGUAAACCACCAGCCUUACCACGACCACCGGGAUGCUUCCUGUGCUUGCCAAUACGACCGUGACCAGCUG